AUGGCACAGCAGAGCUCUGUGUUUACCUUGGACAGCUCAGGCAGGCUGAGGGAAGCCAAGGGUUGCACAAGAACAGAGAUUCUUUGUGCCCUGGCAGGUCCCCUCUCCUCUCACCCUGCUGAUUUACAAACAUUCUUUCAAAGAAUGAAGGGCACUGCUGGCUCAGCCAGCCUGGGAUGCCACAGCCCGAGGAGGUGGCACCUGGAGCACCUCUGUGGGUUCCAAACUCUGCUUUGCUUGGGGACCUGCUCCGUGGUGGCCACGAGGCUCCCAGGACAGGAGGAACGGCCUCAGGCUUUGCAGGCUGGACAGCAGCAGGAAUUCCUGCAGGAAAAGGUGCCCAGGUGUUUGAAGCAGGAAUUCCUGCAAGGAAAGUGUGCCCAGGUGUUGGCAGCAGGAGUUCCUGCAAGGAAAAGGCGCUCCGGUGUUGGCAGCAGGAAUUCCUGCAGGAAAAGGUGCCCAGGUGUUGGCAGCAGGAAUUCCUGCAAGGAAAAGGUGCCCAGGUGUUGGCAGCAGAAAUUUCUGCAAGGAAAAGGUGCCCAGGUGUUGGCAGCAGGAAUUCCUGCAAGGAAAAGGUGCUCGGGUGUUGGCAGCAGAAAUUUCUGCAAGGAAAAGGUGCUCAGGUGUCGGCAGCGGGAGUUCCUGCAAGGAAAAGGUGCUCCGGUGUUGGCAGCAGGAAUUCCUGCAGGAAGAGUUGCCCAGGUGUUGGCAGCAGGAAUUCCUGCAAGGAAAAGAUCCUCAGGUGUUUGAAGCAGGAAUUCCUGCAAGGAAAAGGUGCUCCGGUGUUGGCAGCAGGAAUUCCUGCAAGGAAAAGGUGCCCAGGUGUUGGCAGCAGGAAUUCCUGCAGGAAAAGGUGCUCAGGUGUUGGCAGCAGGAAUUCCUGCAGGAAAAGGUGCUCAGGUGUUUGAAGCAGGAAUUCCUGCAAGGAAAAGGCGCCCAGGUGUUAGCAGCAGGAAUUCCUGCAGGAAAAGGUGCCCAGGUGUUGGCAGCAGGAAUUCCUGCAGGAAAAGGUGCCCAGGGGGGCUGGGAGUCCCCAGGCCCGGAGGUGGCACAAGCUGGGGAUGGGCACAGGUUGGGCUGGGAGAGCUUUUCCAGCCUCAGUGACCCCGGGAUGCACCAGAGAAGGAAAUCCAUCACACCAGUGGUGAGCACAGGUGAAGCCCAAGUCACCCCCUUCUUGGUCUGGAAAUGUGCAACCUCAGGGUGGAAACUUUGGGAAAGUUAAUGAAGGAAAAAAAAACCCUCUAGAGCUUGAAAAACUCACAUUUGUGUUUGUGAGAACUCACUUCUAAGGCGAGCUGCCAGCUGGAAGCAUCAGUCUCUGUGCUAGGAGGGCUCAGUCCUGGUUUUGAUGCAUUUCUUUAAUAUCUCUCAGACAUUCAAAAGCACUCUUACGUCACCAGGAAUUUCUUUUGUAUCACAUUAUUUAAUAAAAACCUGCUGAAGACAUCA
RNAcentral lists this long non-coding RNA (1452 nucleotides) under Lonchura striata (white-rumped munia). Its description in RNAcentral is "domestica (Bengalese finch) lncRNA (ENSLSDG00000002740.1)". Lineage: Eukaryota; Metazoa; Chordata; Aves; Passeriformes; Estrildidae. The record is from RNAcentral.